Ostrinia nubilalis (European corn borer) is the source of this 4313-nucleotide long non-coding RNA. RefSeq lists it as uncharacterized. The transcript has 2 exons. The record is from RefSeq and is a predicted model, not a curated record. Lineage: Eukaryota; Metazoa; Arthropoda; Insecta; Lepidoptera; Crambidae.
UCACUGCUGAAAACACAUACGGGUGUGUUUUUUCGAUCGCAACGCCUGUGCGGCCGCACACGUUUUACGUGUUUUCUUAAUUCUCCAUACGGCAGUGCGGGCUCACACGUAAAGCGCGUUUUGCCGUUGUAACGCCUAUGCGGCUUCACACGCAAAGCGUGUUAAGCCGACGUAACGACUAUGCGGACAACACAUACGUCUGUGUUUUGAUAUAAUAAGUAGAAUUUAUCUCUGUGGAAUCUUUAUUUUGAUAAAGUUUAAUGAAAAAUAAUAAGUGUGUCUUAUAUAAGGUAUAAUUAAAGACAAGUGUUUGUAUGGAUCAAGGGAAAAUCAUAAAUAAUAAAAAUCGGCGCGGCUUAUAAUUUCGGUAGGUUAGCUUUUGUGCAUAUUCUUUUAGUUCGAAAUAAAGAUAACAUUAUUUUAGGAUCCUUUUAUUUGGAAUUACUGAGAAAUUAAAAAAGGUCAAAAGAGCGCGGCGGCCCCUUUGUUCCGACAUAAGUUGUGCAUUUUACUGAACUUCAAGGUCAAGAAAAAGUCUAUUAUUAAGUGUGCACGUGCAGGUCAUAAAGAUUUUGUAUAGAACAAAAGAAAAUGAUAAGGAACGACGCGGUUUAAAAUAGUUUCGGUAGGCUAGCUUUUGUGCAUAUUCUUAACCCUGAAUGCGCGACUUUUUGCUUAUGAAAAUAAGCUCAUUAAAUUAAUGUAAAAUACCUACUAUGACUCCAACACUUAGAGACAAAUGUUUAAAAUAAAGUUGUUUUAUUAAAAUGAUCCAAAAGUAUUUAAUCAAUGCCCCUUAAUAAUUUAAUUUUGAUAGUUAUAUUGGUACCUAUAUGUAUUAUUUUUGAGCUUAUGAUAAUUUUUAUAUUGCUACGAAUCUCCCUAUAGCCAAUACGGGCGGAGCAGUAAAGAAAAAUGUUGCGAAAACGGGAAUGUUAUAAGCUGAAGUUUUCUUUGUUUGAACACGCUAAUCUCGGUCACUACUGAACCAAUUUCAGAAAUUGUUUCACUGUUAAUGUACCUACGUGAUCCCUGAGUACUAUAAGCUAUAAAUGUACUACAGGAAAAGCCAGGGCAGACCACUAGAACAACAAUAAAGUAGUAUUUUUUUAACUUUAUCUUAUUAAAACGUUGCACUCCCGAACCCAGAGAGGUUUUCGCCAAAACAAUGUAAUUUGUGUAAUUUUUAUAAAAAUCAUGCUAUAAAUAAAGUAUAUAUACAGGAUUAUAGGUAUACCAAAUAAUAAUAUACCAAAUAUAAAAUGUAGGUUUCAGCAACACUGCGCAUUUAGGGUUAAGCUUAAACGAAGAUAACAUUAUCUAAGUUCUUUUUAUUUUCAAUUGGAGAUAAGCAAAAAUACUACAGUAAGUAAAUGCUUUGUUCGAAAACAAACAAAAGAGCGGCGGUCCUUUUGUUCAAGAAAUAAGUGAUAAAAAAGCGGCAUUCCUAUUGUUCAGCAAAACAUAUUGUAAAAUCUUUACCUGUGUAGUGAUAUAAAACAAUGGACAGGUAUAUUAUGACGAAGCCAAAGGGUGGGGGGUCAGUGAAUUGGGUUGUAAAUGUAGUCAGUCUGCUUUCGACCUCGCAAGUGUUCGGUACGCUCUUUGCUACUGUUCAGUAUUGUGAAGUGUUUGUGUAGUGGAUUUUACGAUGUCCGCCGACGACAUUGACAACCAACUUUCGGAAAUCUUCCGUGAUACGGAUGCCGGCGGCUGGGCUUCCUCAUAUUCCUCCUCUUCCGAGGAGGAGGAUGAGGUCCAAGACCAGGCGGCCGACUCCUCUGAGGAGGAUGAGGUCGAAGACCAGGCGGCCGACUUCUCUGAGGAUGUGUGGGAACCGACGGGCCAGCUUCCGUCGUUCCCAUGCACCAACGUGGGAACUCACAAUAUAGGACCAGCUGAGACCCCUAUCGAUUUUUUUAAUUUAUUAUUUAACACCACAUUUAUGACUAUUUUAGUAAACAGCAUAAAUACCCACGCAAUACAAGUGCUUUUGGAGAGCCCACAUGAGCAUAGUAGAAUUUCAAAUUGGAAAGAUACCAACAUAGAAGAACUCUAUGUUUUUCUAGGCCUAUUAUUCCACAUGGGCCAUAUUAAAUUAAACAGAAUUAACGAUUACUGGAAAACAGACGUCUUAUACGAUCUGCCGUUUAAAAAUUUUAUGAGCCGCGAUAGAUUUUUAUUAAUUUUACGUAAUUUGUCUUUUUCCGAUCCAAAUUUAACUUUUGCCACUACUGAUCCCAAUAAAUUUACCAAACCUAUUAUAGAUUUUUUUAACAAUACUAUGAAAAUGCUGGUGGUCCCUCCAAAAAACUUGACUAUUGACGAAAGUGUGGUUUUGUGGCGCGGGCGGUUAAAAAUUAGACAAUUUAUACAAGGUAAAAGGCAUAAAUAUGGUGUGAAAUUAUAUAUCCUCACAGACCCUAAAGGCAUGACGCAGAAAAUUCACAUGUAUUGUGGAUCACAUGACGUUCUCCUUCGAGGAAAAGGUCAUGCUGAUAAAGUAGUGAUGAUGUUGAUGGAAGACUAUUUAAACGCAGGACACUCUUUAUACAUGGACAAUUUUUAUAAUAGCGUUUCUUUAGCGGAAAAUCUAUUAGCAAAUAAAACUUAUUUGACUGGUACUUUGAGGGCCAAUAGAUCACGUAAUCCCGAGAUUACAAGGGCUAAGUUGCCUAAAAACCAAGUACAAUCACGGUACAAUUCGCGUGGAGUAUGUGUCUCUAAUUAUAGAGACAAACGAACGGUCCUCAUGAUAUCCACUGAGCACGAUGCUGACUUCAUAAAUUAUACCAAUAAAAGAGGUCAAACUGUCGCAAAACCUAGAGUCGUCCAUGAGUAUAAUAAGUAUAUGAAAGGUGUUGACAGGAAAGAUCAGAUGCUGUCUUAUUAUGCUUGUUACAAUAAAUCCACGAGGUGGUAUAAAAAAAUAAUUACACAUGUUAUGCAAGUCAUGAUGUUAAAUGCAUUCAUGAUGUACAGUAAUAGUCAGGCCAAUUCAAAUUGUAGUUUUUAUGAUUUCCGUAUAAAUGUUGUUAGAAAAUUGUUAAACGCAGACAGACAGACAAACAGACAGACAGUAACUUCUCGUCGAACAGGGGAUUUUAUUCAUUGGCCAUUACAUUUACCUAAAAAUGCUAAAGGCGUUACAAAACGCAAAGAUUGCCGCUAUUGCUUAGAAAAGUUGAAACUCCGAAAAGCUGCAACAUUUUACUGUACUCAUUGCAACAAAAAACCCGGCUUGCAUCUUGGUUGUUUUAAAGAUUAUCAUGGUUAUCGUUAAGUUUAGUUCAUUAUUUUGUAAAUUCUCCCCGAGUCCAAUCAGCCUGGUCCCAAUGUCAACGCCUAAAAUAUAUUUAUUUUAUUAUAAUUUAGCAAAGUAGGUAGGUAAAUGUACUUAUCAUUUACUUUGUGCUCAGUUAUUGUAGCUUGUUUAGAUUUUUUAUAUAUUUGCACUUUAUCACCAUACUCCACAUAAAAUUAAAAUUUUCAGUGCAUAUUAAGUCUAAUUAUUGUUAAUUUUCAGUUCUUCCACUGACAUUGUUACUAACUAUAUGUAGUUAAACUUUAUUUUAAUAGCGAUUGCGUCAUUCCUGUGUGCUUGUGAUGUACAUAUAAAAUGUUAUUAUAUUAAUUUAUUUCUUAAUGUUACAUUUAAUAAUCAACAAUUUUCUUUUUUUUUUCAGAGUGCACGCAGUGGAGAAUAGCCUUGAUAUUUUUUUUUUUCAUUUUAUAAUAAUAAAUGAAUCUUUUCUUUUUGUUUCAGAGUGCGCGCGGAGGAGAUAAAUUUUAUUUUCUUUUUUUUUUAUAAUAAUAAUCCUUUCUUUUUGUUUCAGAGUACGCGGUGCGGAGAAAAUAAUAUUGAUUUUUCCCAUUUUAUUAUAAUUAUUAAUCCAUUCUCUUUUUUUUUGCAGGGUGCAUGCGGUGUAUAAUAUUAUUUUAUUUUUAGAUUAUUAUAUUUUGUAAACUAAAAGUGACAAAUGUGUAGUAAUCACACUAAAAUCACUUUUAGGAAUUAUUUGUAUUAGUUUGUUAAUGGCAUUUUAUAAUUUACUAUGUAGUAUUUAAUUUUUAUACUAAACAUAAUAGUUUUAUGUAUAUUUAAAUUAGUAUAAUAUUUUCCCUAUUUUCUGAGAGGGUAUUGUGUUAUUUCACCUUUGUGAUAAUCAUAGUUCUAUCAUAAUUUAAUUUAAUUUAAAAGCCCCUAAUUUACUGAAAGGAGGUUGGAUUAGUUCAUCUCUGCAAUUCUUGAUUGUAAAGAUGAUCCAUAAUCCAAGGGAGAGUGGUGGGUCCUCCAAUGCCCUCUCAUUUUU